Molecule: ribosomal RNA, 253 nt
Filed under: uncultured bacterium
Lineage: Bacteria
Description: partial 16S ribosomal RNA
Rfam family: Bacterial small subunit ribosomal RNA
Source: RNAcentral
UACAGGGGGUGCAAACGUUGCUCGGAAUUAUUGGGCGUAAAGCGCGCGCAGGCGGCUUGGUAAGUUGGGGGUGAAAUCCCUGGGCUCAACCCAGGAAUGGCCUUCAAGACUGCUUGGCUGGAGGACGAGAGAGGUGAGUGGAAUUCCCAGUGUAGAGGUGAAAUUCGUAGAUAUUGGGAAGAACACCGGUGGCGAAGGCGGCUCACUGGCUCGUUUCUGACGCUGAGGCGCGAAAGCGUGGGGAGCAAACAGG